ACAAAUCCGUGCUGCUCAUCAAUGCGUCGCCGCAGACUUGCCGCCUACAGGAGCUCGGGCACAUCGACUCAUUUAUCACCAGGGACGCACAAAAGCUGUGAAAGGGCGGUGAAAGUCGGCGAAACAAGCAAUUUCUGAAUAUUCUCAUCUGCUAUUCUCAUCCUAUAAAAGGCUUCUUAUCUUGGAUUGGCGUUCUUUUCAAAGUACUCCGUCUUAUGGAGUGUUGAUCGAGGGGCUGACCAGUUUGUACACUUUCUCGAGGAUUAUUUAAAAAAGUGACUUGCUGAUUUAACUUUUAACGGAAACUACGCUGAGCAAUAACGAACAUUCAAUAUCUUGCUGGAAAAGAUUUCACCGGUUACCAUGAAGCACAGUUGGUGCGUGUUAGUUCGGACUCUGGUUGUGUUAGGCCUGUUGGCCCUUUGUGCUGUGUCAUGCCAGGCGUACACGCUCGAGGAAAAUGAUAUAGAACCCAAUGGUGAUAUUAUGAUGGAACCAUCGAAAUCAGCUUAUCCCAUCCAUGCCAGAAAACCCUCAAUAUACAACUUAUUCAGUGCCUACAUGAAAUCAAGGGAAAGUGAAAAAGAACGAUCAAAACGAAAGCCUAUGAGUAUCGCUGGGAUAGAUAAUAUUCACUUUCUAAUGAGUAGUCCUAAUGCACAGAGAGGAGGUGGUGGUGGUGGCGGUGGUUCAAGAUCAAGGCCCAAAUCAGACGCGAGGAAAGUGUCAGCAGAUGCCCUCAGACAGCUAUUCCUUGCUGGCAGAUAAGGGCACGGCAAAGAUGAUGGGCGCUGAUCCCGUUGCAGUGUCGCCUCACACUAUGGUGAUGAUGGUAAAACGUUUUGUGUACGGUACUGAAUUGUGAAGCUGUAAGGACCCCGCGAUACAUACCCGUGAGACAAAAGGGACAAGACACUGCUCGUCAGCUGCACUCAGCAACGGACUUUGAAGGAACUGUGUCGUGUUUUUGAUGUUUUGACAAUCGGUACAUGGAGAUUGUUGUGUCAGGUGAUAUUAAGUGAUCAAUCGUCUUUAUAAGAAUACUCCAGCAGAAUGCUAGAUACUGCAGUUAAGUACAAAGUAGCUACCGUUUUUGGAUGAAAAACAUGUUGUCCACCGGCCCUCACGGAAAUACACUCAUAGAGCGUCAGGGUGGUUUUGGGGGAAACGUGCAUUGUUUUGAGGUGUGGUGUUGUUUCCGUCGUCGUGUGUGCCGAUGGUAUUACUGUAAAGAAAAUCACAUCGUUUACAAGAGAGAUUGUUUCACUGUCGUGUUCGAACGGAUUAUGACCUACCGCGACAGACUAUCAUGGAAUAUCCCGAUCGGAACCUCUGCUGCGGUCGCUCUCAUGAUAUUUGGUUUAUUCUUUUGGGAAAUGCACCGAGGAAAACAAUCUUUCAAAUUCUUUGUUUUAACUUCCAAAAAUUUUCCAGGCAUCUUCUGUAAAACUUUUUGUGAGGGAUUCUGAUAUCAGCUCAAUGAUAUAAUAUUGAAGUUUGAAGCCAUAAUAUUGAAGUACCUUUUUUGACAUUCCGCCUUAUCUGAUUGCCUGUCGUCAGAGGUGGAUUUACUUUACAAAGAUUUCAUGCUUUCGUUUCGGUUUACACCAAUCACUAGGGGCCUAGUAGAUUCAUCCUUACUCACAGGCUCACAAAUGUCGAUCAUGCAUAGUGUUCCAGAAAGAUGUUAUCAUUGUGAGGGUCACCCAAGUGUCAUUAAGCUGAGAUCACCUAUAAGCUUCAAGAAAAUACUGUUUCUAUUCUUGCUUUUUAACUGUAACACAUUUAAACUUUUGAACUGUUUCACGUGUAAUUUAAAUUGUACACAGUUAUUUCUCUUUGUGAGUCACUCUGUAUAUCUAACAAAAUUUGUGGUGUGAAGCACAAAAAAACGAAACGAAGAAAGAAAGAAAGAAAAAACAUCAUAAUAUACUUUCACGAACGCCUUGCUUGUACCAUAUUGGAACGAACACGUGCCGGUCUAUCAAAGUGGAUUCCCAAAGACAGCAGUAACAGUCGCGCACAUACAUUGGAAUAUAUCUUAUACAUUGCACUGUCUUUCAAAGGAGAUGAACUCUACUGAAUGCAUGCUGGACACAUUUUACAGUCGGAAGGGUAUUCCGCUAGGGCUAAAGUUUGAUCGGAGUCCACCCAUAAAAUGAUAGGUAACCACCAUUGGGAUUUUUGCUGCCGCAGGAUCGCAAUGUUACAAGUGGCCGCGAAAGAUAUGGUCGAUAAAAGCCUGUCACCAACAUUCCUCAGCAGUAUCCCUGAGGUGGAUUGCGCAAUAGAUUGACCAUUGAUAAAAAAUGUAUUGCACGCGCAGUGAUCAGUGGAGGAUCGCAUCCUUGCCGCAGACCAAUUCUCAAUGGCGGAUUCCCCGCGCUACUGUCAUUACACGCGGCAGUAGCUGACGAAGCCGACGACAUCCAUGAACCAUGCUGGCAAGUAGGUUGUUUAUUGCCAUGUUAGUGUGUUUGUUAACGGCCGUGGUUGUGGUGUAAAUAAUUUCAACAGCCACUGAAUUCGGCGAAGAUGGGAUGGCACUUGUACGACAAAGAACGGAUGAGUUUCGGUUUUGGAGGUUCAAGGUACUAUAAUUGUUUCAUAUGUGUCAAAGAAAUAUUUCAUAAUAUUAUUAAUAAGCCAGUUACAUGACGUUACUUUCAUGCUGUUGUCUUCUCCUUGGAUUGUCCCCGGGGUUAAUGAAAUAAAGAGUCCUACAGCCA
Molecule: long non-coding RNA, 2729 nt
Organism: Lineus longissimus
Lineage: Eukaryota; Metazoa; Nemertea; Pilidiophora; Heteronemertea; Lineidae
Exons: 4
Source: RefSeq, a predicted model, not a curated record